Molecule: non-coding RNA, 102 nt
Organism: Neohortaea acidophila
Lineage: Eukaryota; Fungi; Ascomycota; Dothideomycetes; Mycosphaerellales; Teratosphaeriaceae
Source: the annotation of a RefSeq genome assembly
GCUCUUAUGGUCUAGUGGUAUGACGUGUGCUUCACAUUUCUCUGCUGUAGCGGGCAACGUGGAUCACGCACAAGGUCCCGAGUUCGAUCCUCGGUGGGAGUA